UACAACAUGAUCCUUGACCACGUCCGUUUCUCGGCUCAGAGUAAGAAGUAAGAUACAACACGAUCCAUAAUCCCACUAUUAAAUUCAAAGAAAUAAUUUGCUAAGAAUAUUUCAAACAUUUAAUUUCUAAAUAGUUUGGGUUAAUAUAGAGAGUUGGCUGAUUUAUGUAAAAUAAUAUAAUUAGAUUGGUGACAAUAUGAUUAUACCAUAUAUAGUAAUUUCUACUAAAAUGCAAACUAAAACUAUCACAACUUGUUGCUUACAUUGUAUUUUUUUUAUAAAAUAUGAAUGAUUUUAUUCAACAUUGUUAUUAAAUAAGCAAGGGUAAUAGUGUCAAUUUCUUUAAAAAAAUAUGAGGUUCCAGCCAAUAGACAAAGAAUAGAAAUGGGGUGCCCUUGUUAAUUCAAUUCUUUUGCUUAUAUAGAAAAUAGCUUUGUCUAAAUUAGGAGUAUAUAAAUCACUUUUUAUUAUUUAUAUAUCAACAAGCAUAAUUUGGCUAAUAUAGAGCAUUACACGUUAAAAUUAAAUUAUAUACUAAAAGUGGAGCUUUAUCACCAAAACUACAAUUGUAUCACCAACAAAUUAACUAGAGGGAAAAGAUAAGACCUAACAAAUUAAGGACAAUAUUAAUUGACCAGUGUUGGUCCCUGAGUGGCUCUGGAAUGUUACUAUUAUAUUCAAAGAAUAAAGUUCUAAAGACUCAUGCACCAUAUAGAUAUAGCCAACCAUACGAAGCACUAUUGACCUGGUUCAUUAGCUUUGUGGGGUUUGUAAGUAUUUGAUCUAAUACUUACAAAAUUUGUCACAUUAAGUGGUUUUCAUGGUGACAGCAGUACUCUUAGAAAGAUGACAUCAAGUAUGCAUGCAAGAAAUAAAAGACUAUGCAGUAAAAAAAGAUAGAAAACGAAUGAAAACAUAUACCAGGUAGUGUGCACUCCAACCUGAGAAAGAACUUGUGUGUUUUUAAUUUGUUUUUGUUUAUGAGGUUGUGAUAUGUAUUUGAUGAGCAGGAAAUUAUAAGGAAAUGUGUGAAUAUGGUGAUGGGGUUUUGAAUAGAGAUUGGAAUUGUGGUUGGAGUGUGAAGCUUGACACAUGGGGAGAGAAAUGAAGAAGUGAGAACAUGGAAAGAGAAGCUUGCUCUAACAUGUACCCAUAUCCCCUUGACUUUUUUUUGCUACCGUUUUUGUAUAUGAUUGGAGAUAAAUGAGUGUGUCUUUCCGUGAGAAAGGAAGAAAUGGUGUGAGAUGAAAUGGGUUGCAUAUAUGUCUAUGCUUGCAUGUGUGUAAUUACCCCUUUGUAUCAAUCUCUUGCAAGAAUAAGCCUCCACAUUUGAAAUUAAGAUACCAUGGCUUUUUCUGC
This 1359-nucleotide long non-coding RNA is filed under the name Lupinus angustifolius (narrow-leaved blue lupine). Its description in RNAcentral is "long non-coding RNA (LANG_LNC001816)". The record is from RNAcentral. Lineage: Eukaryota; Viridiplantae; Streptophyta; Magnoliopsida; Fabales; Fabaceae.